RNAcentral lists this non-coding RNA (23 nucleotides) under Arabidopsis thaliana (thale cress). The record is from RNAcentral. Lineage: Eukaryota; Viridiplantae; Streptophyta; Magnoliopsida; Brassicales; Brassicaceae.
CGCCACCAACAAUCCCUCCGCCA